Molecule: non-coding RNA, 100 nt
Filed under: Umezakia ovalisporum
Lineage: Bacteria; Bacillati; Cyanobacteriota; Cyanophyceae; Nostocales; Nodulariaceae
Description: Chrysosporum ovalisporum Glycine sequence
Rfam family: Glycine riboswitch aptamer
About the family: This family represents the bacterial glycine riboswitch. Glycine riboswitches usually consist of two metabolite-binding aptamers domains with similar structures in tandem. The aptamers cooperatively bind glycine to regulate the expression of downstream genes.
Source: RNAcentral
GGCAGGCGAGCGGGAGAGCCCGAUGCCCUUCUCACGGGAGGGGCAGAGGCGCCGAAGGAGCAACCGCCCCGGAAUCUCUCAGGCAAAAGGACCGCGUGCG